GAAAGGUCUAACUUCCCUUCAAAACUCAGAGGCAAGCCUGCAACCGUAGGAUUCGACAUCGUUUUAUUGCCUUAAUUGUAUUACUAAAAUUUUGUUCUGCGUUGAAGAUUAUUUUGGGAUGCGCCUUCUUCCAUCUGUCCCAAAUUCAAAUUCUUGAAUCGUUAAUGGAAUCGCGAGGGCAGGGCAGAUUCGAUGAGUUUACAUCCACUGAACCCUCAAUUGAAGAUCAGAAAGAGGAGGAAUUGUACAAUGCGAGAUCCUCAAUGGAGGAAUUGAGUGCCAAUUUGGAUAAACAGAAUGAGAGAAAGACGAAUCUUUUGACUGAUUUGCAACAUUUACGCCAACGAAUCGAGGAGAAAGAAGUUGCAAAUGGCGGAGUGCAGAAAUUGCUUCCUCUUUUGUACUCACUGAAGGCUCUGGAAAGGCAAGAAUCUGUUUUGCUAUCUAUUUACGAUGACAAGCGCUUUCAGUUGCAAGCUGAGGUUAAUGAAUUGGAGGAUAAGAUAGCGGCUGCUUGGGAUAUCGAGACUCUUUCUGAGGAUCUCGAUCGUGUAUUGUCAGAUUCACUGGAGAAACUUAACUCUGCAAAGAAGGAACAAGCAGCACAACUAAGAGCAAUACUGUCAGUGAAGCGGCAGAUUGAUGACAUUCCAACCGAGUCAGAACUCGUUCAGUAUGCUGCUUCAUUUCUUCGCAUUACAUUUUCACUUUGCUUUUUGGGUUUGAUUGCAACUUAACUCGUUAUCAAUCUACUAUACUGAGAUGUUUUGAAUUCUUCAAAUAAUGCACUUGUCAAAAUAUCAGAGAAUGUUUUUUUAUUUUUUAUUUUCACAUGAGAAUUUUCAUCUUCUACAUGUUAAUUGUCAAGAAUCAAGUCUGUCUAAUUGAAUUCUCAUGGUAAAGAGUAAGUACUUUGGUUUUACUUUGGAAUUUUCCUGAACUAGGAGUUUAUGUUAUUUUUGAAUUUAUGCCACUUGACUGGUCAAAAUUAUGUCAUAUUAUCGCGGAGCUAUUUAUGUCUGACCACUUUUUUGCAUAUAAGCAGUGAAAUACAGCCCUAACAACCUCCCUCCCCUUUCUACUUUCAAGAUUCAUGAAUAUCCAUGUCUAGAUUAAAUUCCUGGAAACACUGUCCUUUCACAUUGUCUUCAAGCAUAUUGUUUAUGAUCUCCCUUUUGUCUUAGUAAUGCAGUGAAGUCACUAAGUUCUACCGGCCACUUUGUCUCGUAACUUCUCAUUUUCACCUCAAUUCAUGCCACUUUAGGUUAUCACAAUUUUUUCAUAUCUUAUUGACUUCGGAUCUUCUCAUCCAGGUGCUUAGCUUUGUUUUAGAAGUGGCAUCUUUUAAAUGAUUCAUCAUGAUCAUACUUUAUAGAAUUAGCUCCAUUUCAAUCUCUUAUUCGUAAAAAAUAAUUGACCAAGAAUAACAUAAUCAUGGCGCUACAUUUCUGUAUUUGCAUACUUGCUAUCUAAUUUAACUGAAGCGUGACACUGAGCUUAAGCUUUAUUUUCAGUUAUGAAUGCCGGUUUUUUUAUUUGAAUGCUUAUGUCCAGGUUUUAUAUGCCAUGUGUGUUUUAUUGGCCUCAUUUUGGUAGUUUUUGCUGAAUCUAUCUUUGUUUAUCUCCUCUAAUGACAAGACCUUGCAUUCUCAUUUUAAUGUAAAGGUAAGGCAUCAUCAAACCUGCAAAUAUUAUGCAACCUAUAAUGCUCUUUUGGAGAUUAAAGAACUGAUGCUAAAGGAAACUUCCUUGUUGAAUUCGAUAAGUUCACAGUUUCAGGAUGCCAUUACAAGUACUGAUGGUCGCAUGAAGCUUAUUGGUUCCAUGGAAGGGAUUGUAAAGGGCAAUCAGCAGAUAAUUGUGAUCUUCUCUCAUAACCUGAGAGAAAUAUUAUCGUAUACAUUGUCAUAUGAAAGAUUCCCAAGGUAUUGCAUUCAUAUUGCUAUUGCUUGCAGUUCUCGUUAAUAUACUAUUUAUGGUUUUUCAGGAACAAGUAUUUAAUUGUUUGAGGAGGGUAACUGCUGCUAAUGCAUCUUGCAGACGCUGCAAAAGGUGCAAGUGGGGCUUCAGGAAGAGCAGAAGGCUUGUGAUGCUCUUAAGAAGAGGUAUGCUGCAGCAUUGGCAGAGCAAAGGCUCUGCUAUUCUCUGUUAAAGCCUUCUAGGUAAUCCUUGUUUUGAUUAUUCCAUACAGGAUUUAGUAGGAUUACUCCCAACAGAAAAUAGUGUAGUACUUAGUCAAAUAUUUCAAAAUAAAGUGCGCCUAUGCCACUGAAAACCACUGCUACAUGUCCUGAGGGGUUGUUCUAGUUUAGCUGAUGUUUACACCAUGUGAUGUAAACAAAACAAAGGAAUUUCAUUGUGGUGAUUCGUCACUGGUGUUUACAUCAUAUGCAGUGUUGUUCAACAUUGGGUUCAAUUCAACCUUGUUUAUGCAUGAAUAUUAUUGGAGAAGUUAAUUAUCAGUGAUGAAUCAUGUUGGUAGUGCAGAAAUGCUUUGUGUAUUUCAUUAGAGAACAUCAGAAAUCAUGUAUAUAUAUGUAGCAAGGAGUAGAAAUUGUUUUGUAUUCAAUUUCAUAUUUUAACAAAAUUGCUUGGCAAUCAAGAAUUGGCCCCAUUUCCUUGUGGCGAGGGC
RNAcentral lists this unclassified non-coding RNA (2632 nucleotides) under Hevea brasiliensis (rubber tree). Lineage: Eukaryota; Viridiplantae; Streptophyta; Magnoliopsida; Malpighiales; Euphorbiaceae. The record is from RNAcentral.